RNAcentral lists this ribosomal RNA (495 nucleotides) under uncultured bacterium. Its description in RNAcentral is "partial 16S ribosomal RNA". It matches the Rfam family "Bacterial small subunit ribosomal RNA", at positions 28 to 507 of the family's 1533-position model. The record is from RNAcentral.
GACGAACGCUGGCGGCGUGCCUAAUACAUGCAAGUAGAACGCUGAAGGAGGAGCUUGCUUCUCUGGAUGAGUUGCGAACGGGUGAGUAACGCGUAGGUAACCUGCCUGGUAGCGGGGGAUAACUAUUGGAAACGAUAGCUAAUACCGCAUAAGAGUAGAUGUUGCAUGACAUUUGCUUAAAAGGUGCAAUUGCAUCACUACCAGAUGGACCUGCGUUAUAUUAGCUAGUUGGUGGGGUAACGGCUCACCAAGGCGACGAUACAUAGCCGACCUGAGAGGGUGAUCGGCCACACUGGGACUGAGACACGGCCCAGACUCCUACGGGAGGCAGCAGUAGGGAAUCUUCGGCAAUGGACGGAAGUCUGACCGAGCAACGCCGCGUGAGUGAAGAAGGUUUUCGGAUCGUAAAGCUCUGUUGUAAGAGAAGAACGAGUGUGAGAGUGGAAAGUUCACACUGUGACGGUAUCUUACCAGAAAGGGACGGCUAACUACGUG